UUUUCCAUCAAUCCUUCAAUUCUCCAUACAAAAUCUACGGUUCAAUACAACUGAAACUCCUAAACCUCUUGUGAUUGUCACCCCAGUGAGUGAAUCCGAGGUCCAACGAGUCAUUCUUUGUUCUAAGAAAACUGGGAUGCACGUUAGGGUUCGUGGUGCAGGACAUGAUUAUGAAGGUCUUUCUUAUGUCUCCGAGGUUCCAUUCGUUAUAGUUGACCUUAUUAACCUUAGAACAAUCAAUGUUGAUGUCAAUGAUAAGAGUGCAUGGGUUGAAGCUGGAUCAACUAUUGGUGAACUCUAUUAUAGAAUCGCGGAGAAAAGCAAAACCCUAGGGUUUCCGGCUGGUGUUUGUCCAACAGUUGGUGUUGGUGGACAUUUUAGUGGAGGUGGUUAUGGUGUUAUGCUGAGAAAAUAUGGCCUAGCAGCUGAUAACAUUGUAGAUGCACGAUUGAUCGAUGCCAAUGGGAGGAUUCUUGAUAGGGUUUCCAUGGGGGAAGAUCUAUUUUGGGCAAUUAGAGGAGGUGGUGGUAAUACUUUUGGACUUGUCCUUGCAUGGAAGAUCAAAUUAGUAGAUGUUCCUGAGAUAGUAACUGUUUUCACACUUGACAAGACAUUGGAACAAAAUGCCACUAAGCUUGUUCAUAGGUGGCAAUAUGUUGCUCCAAGAUUCCAUGAAGAUUUGUUCAUUAGGAUCUUGGUUAGUAAAUUGAACUCAAGUAAUCAAGGAGAUGGUAACAACCAACAAACAAUUGUAGCUUCAUUCAACUCCAUAUUCCUUGGUGGUAUCGAUCGAUUACUUCCCAUCAUGAAAGAAAAUUUCCCUGAAUUAGGGUUGAGAAGAGAAGAUUGCAUUGAGAUGAGUUGGAUAGAGUCUAUAAUGUACUUUGCAGGGUUCCCAACAGAUGGACCUCUUGAUGUCUUGCUAAGUAGGGUUCAACUCUCAACGCGUUACUUCAAGGCAAAAUCAGACUACGUGUAUCAGCCAAUUCCAGAGGGAGGUCUUGAAGGAAUAUGGAGAUUCUUCUUUGAAGAUGAAGCUCAAUCAUCUCAAGUAAUCUUAAGUCCCUAUGGUGGGAGGAUGGAUGAGAUUUCACCAUCCGCUAUCCCGUUCCCCCAUAGAGCUGGGAAUUUAUACAAAAUUCAACAUUUGGUGUAUUGGGAUGAAGAAGGAGAAGAAGUAGCUGAGAGGCAUAUAAGUUGGAUAAGAAGGCUUUACUCUUACAUGGCACCUUUUGUUUCUAAGUUACCAAGAGCUGCUUAUAUCAACUAUAGGGAUCUUGAUAUUGGAGUGAAUAACAUCAAGGGAUAUACAAGCUAUGUGCAAGCUAAGGUUUGGGGGAUUAAGUAUUUCAAGAAUAAUUUUGAUAGAUUGGUUCAUGUGAAGACUAAGGUGGAUCCUUCAAAUUUCUUUAGGAAUGAACAAAGUAUUCCUUCACUUACUCAGUGGAAGAACAAAGGUGAAUGAAGUUCAUCACUCUACAAAAAAUAAUAUGAUGCAUGUUAUUAUUUAAUUAAUUAAGUACAUAGUUUCUCUUCAUUGUUUGUAUUAUAAAGGGUCAUGCAUGUGAGAACAUGGCACUUGAUAAGACUUGUGUAGUAAUUUUUUUUUUAUGUAAUUUGCCUGUUCUAUGAAAUUAUUGUAUAAUAUUGAUUGAUAAUAAAGGUUGUUUAAUUUAAUUUAUUUUUAUGGUUUUCUUCCUUACAUAUUGAUUUUUUUUUCUCAAUUAUUACUAGCAAAUAAACUCGACUCAAACAUUUCAUUCAAUUUUUCUUCCGAAUUGUCCUAGACCUCAUCUUGCUCAGAUUUAUAUGAAUUUAGCUUGAAAUUUUCAACUCUUCGAACCAAGAGCUCCAUCACUCAUUUUCUUUUACGAAUAGCUCAUCCAUAACAAUAGGAAGGGUCAUUACAUUUAUAAAUUAAUUCAGGAACAACUUCACUAUCUCUAUGAAGUAAUGAUAAAAUUUGCAUAUAUUUUAUCCUCCUCAAACUACACUUGAUGAAAUUUCACUAAAUAUACUAUUAUUAUUAUUAUAAUAUUAAUUAUUAUAAUUUAUAAUAAUUUUGUAGAAUAAGUUUCAAAUAUACAAAUUAUUUUUUAACAAUCUUAAAAUACUAAUCUACCCUUCAAAAAAUUUGGAUUAGACUUUCCUUAAUUGCACAAUCCAACUUCCAAAGGCAUAACUCAUUCAUACAAACUCGGAAUCGCGCAAACUCGGCGGCGUUGGAAAGAUCAUUCCAAGAGCUUUCCAACCAUAUCUGGAAGUACACCUAAUUCACCUUGAUCUAGGAGUUAUGACCGUUUGAAGUUGACCAAAACUCAACUUUUUCCUAACUUGAACAAUUUUUUAGAUUUUUCAUUAUUUCCAAAAAAGGACUAUUUCCAUUUCUAAGCUUCUUCCUAGCUAUUUAAAAUUGUGAUAUGUUACAUAAAACGAAAUAUUUAACCACUAAAAUGGUGUAAAAUUUUAAAUUCGGUCAAAAAUUACGUGUCUACAGUUGCGACUUCAAUAAGGCUCCAUUUCUCUAGAUGUUGCUUUAUUACUUUCUCCUCUUCAAAUAAGGUUGUCUGAUGAUUCACGUUUCUCAUUUGUGCUUGUAUAUUUUUCUAGUACACAAAUACAGUUUUUUCUUAUACAUAAAUAUAAUUGGUUGUAUCAAUAUGUAUCAAUCAAACAAAAAAGAUAUGGUUUGAUAAUAAAUGUACUAUGAUACACAUAUACAAUUUUUCAUGAUACGUAAAUUAUAUAUACAAUUGAUUGCAUCAAUUUAAAAAGAAGAGAAGAUUCAAAAGUGAACUGAUACAUGUUUUUAGUCUAAUGAUGCAAACAUUGAACAAUAAUCAAGACAAAUUUGAGUUUACUUUGUCACCUUUAGUUUCUUAUUUUCUUCAUCUCUCUUCUGCGAGUAUCUUUUUUAGAUUAAGAAUUUUAAAACUGAUGAAUGCAUCGCCAUUAUCGUCAGCACCAAAAAUUCUGUAGGUAGUAUAAAACAACUAACAAAGAUAUCUACAAUUUUAAUGGUUCUAAACUUCUAAUGAUUUACAGAAAUAAAAUCAGCUUUAUUAUUUCCGUAUUAAUUUAUUUGUUUUUUUUUAUUUGUUAAAAUUUAAUAUAUUUAUUUUUGUUGAGUCCUGGACAAUUUGUAUAUUUUCUUUAGUCAUUAAUUUGAACAUUUCAAAAAAACAAGGUACACAAUAUUCAGAAAAUACAUAAAAAUUGAAUACUAUACUAUAAACAAAUAAUAUUAAGUUUCUUGAUAUUAGCAUUGACCACGUCAUGUUAAAGAUGUGUGUCUGAUGCGGAACUAUUUUGAUAAACAUAAUGAGAUAGAUAAUGCAUUUAAAUUAUUUAUGAAUUGCUUGAAUUGACUAUAUCCCAUUCUUUUCCAAUUAAUGUAUAUUGUGAUAGUCAAGUUGCUAUACAUAUAGCACACAAUCCUGUAUUCUAUGAAAGAACUAAAUAUAUUGAAGUUGAUUGUUAUUUUGUAUGUAAUAAGUUGCAAGAAGGACUCAUCUCUCUCCACCAUGUAGCCACUACUGAACAACUAGCAGACAUCCUCACUAAGGCACUCACUGGUAUCAAACAUGUUGCAGUUCUGAGCAAGUUGGCUGUGAGAUCAUCACCGUCAACUUGAGGAGGGGUAUUGACAAUUACCACUGCACAACCAAUUAAUUAUUUAGCUAAGCCGUAGUUAGUUAGUUUGUUACUACCCAUCAGCUACUUAGUCAUAGUGUAAUUUGUUAUAUGGCAGUUAGUUAGUUAGGAUAUUUUCACAUCUUUUGAUUCUUCUAGAAUAGUCCAAUUCACGUGUAUAUAAUGCUACAUUGAUCAAUGAAACAGUGCUGGUUUUCAUUCUCUUCAAACACAGAGUCCUUAGCUUUCUUCUCAUGCUAUUCAUGGCUUCCCUGUUUUGACUCGAUUGAGUAUACUCCAUUAUUGUAUGUUUUGAUAUGUAUAUAUAUAAUAGAAAAAUAAAAAAAGAAUAUGUAUAUAUUAUUAAAAAUCCCUACAUUAUGUGCAACACUUCAAACAAAGAGCAGCCCAUGAGGUGAUUAAUUUUUUUUUUAUAACUAAUUUUAUCGAUGUUAGUAUUUAUUUUUUUUCAGUUGAUAUAAAAGAGCAGCCCAUGAGGCGUCUGAUUGAGUUUGUGCGUAAAAUUUGCAUUAUCCCUAUAAUUAAAUAUAUUUUAGUAUGAUAGUUACUAAUUUACGAUGAUGUUAUUAGUGAAUAAGAUUUAAACUCUAUUAAUUAAAGAGGCACAGAUGAUGAGACCUAUCAAUUUAUGAUUAUAGAUAUAUUAUAGUGCAUGUAAUUUGAAUACAAUUAUAUUAUUUUUAUUUAGUUUGGAUCUGUCAUCGAAGUUCUUUUGAAAACAUUUUUUUUACAUCCACAAGAUAAAAGUAACAUAUGUAUACAAUAUACAAUAUACUCUUUCUUUAGAUUCUACAUAUAAAAUUAUAUUGGAUAUAUUGUUAUUGUUGACUCUAAUGCCCCAAAUCACUAACAUGUCUAAAAAAGUUUUUUGGACAACAUAAAAGGAACAUACCGUAUUAUGAAUUGUAAGUUUAGUCCUAGAUACAAAAAUACAAAAUUAUGAAUUAGCUAUUUCGUUGAAGAAUUAUUUAUUUAUGAAAGUGAGUUCGGGAAAAAACUUCGUUUUCGAUAUUGACCUGUCAUAUAAAAGCAAAACUUACAAAUGUCCCCAAAAAGAGAAAAAUAAAAUAAAAUUGAAACCAUAAACCUUUUAAAGUCAAAAUAUUGAAAUUUGCAAAUAGCUUGGGGUAGAAUAAAAUAUUAUAUUAUCAGAGAAAUUGUCCAAUGAAAGAACCAACAAAUUAUACACGAAGUUUCAUAAAUUCAAAGUGAGAAUUUUCAAAUUUCAAUUUUGUUUAAAUUUCAAUAGUCAAUAUAAGCCAAGACCAUUGACCAAUUGAUUAACCCAACUUGUCAUCUUUAUAGGGGUCCAACAAUUUUAAAUAUCCUCUUUUUACAACAAUUUUGUGUUUGAAUUGUUUUAGAAAAAAUAAUCAUUUGAAAGAACAAUGUGAAAAAUAGUUAAACACCUGUACAUCCUUGCUGUAAAUAAUCUUUUAUAAAAUUUAAAGGUUGAAUUCGAAAGUUUCAAAAUGUAAUAUGCUACUUGCUUUAAUAGCUAAAGAUGUUCAAAUAUUGAGAAAAUCUCAAAAAUUAUAAUUUAUUUAUAUUAAUAAUGUUUAUCACUUAAAUAUGAGGAUUUAAUUAACUAUCUUAUCCUUUCUUAAAAAUUAGAAUCAUGAAGUUAAAUCUGGUGCACAUAUGAAUAUUUUUUCAAGAUAACGUUUUCCCACUAGACCUUUUGAAAAAACAAUGUAUAAUAGUAUCGUAGACAAAUUCAUUUUUCACGAUCUAGCUAUCCGUUAUAGCCUCCAAGCAUAAAAGUCCCUUGUGAACCACUUCAAGAAUUUAUCAAUUGUAGUCAAUAUCUAAUUAUGAAGAGUAAUUCUGAUAACUUCGAGAAAAAAAAAGAUGUUUAUCUAUUUUAGAGAUGGUGUAUUUUUUAUUGUUAUUAUUUUAUAUUUAUUCAUAUCUCUCAGUCUUACGAGGAGAAAAAUACGUAUUGCAUAAAAUUUUAUGAAAAAAAAUCUAUGUUUUUUGAACGUGAAGUUUUGAAAAUAGAACAAUUUCUUUUUUUAUGUAUCCUCGAAUUAAUGCAACCUGAAAUACUAUGUUCCAAAUUUCGUAAUUAACAUAUGUGGGACUCGAGUCCCCAACCUUGCAAUAGGAUCAUAACAAAACCACCACCAUCUGCGUCUAUGGCUCUCAAUGGUUGCGAUAGAUCAUUUCUGCCCCAGGCCAACACUGCAAUUAAUAUUGACUUCAACAUCCAAGGCACGACGGGAAUAAAAUGUGGCGGAUGAUUUGAUAUUAUUAAAAUAUAAAAUUCAGAGAUAAUUACACCUCAAAAGCUAGCUAUUGAAAUGGAAGAUCCGGAGAUUAUGUACACUCUAUUAAACCAAUGUGGAAAUCAAGCCCCAAUGUCUCCUACCUUGCAAGUUGCAAUAUGAUCAUAACAUUAAGAAAUAACUCAUAUAGGGUUGAAUAUAGAUGGCUAAAAAUUGUUUUUUCGCAAGUUAUUAAUUAAGGUCAAACAAAUGUGAAAGGCUAUUGGUGGUCUUGAUCUGAUUUGACUAUUCUUCUUUUUUGGUAUUAUUUUUUAUUCAUUACAAUUUCACACGUAUGUUGAUUAUUAUAGAAAGUUCAACUAAACAAAUAGUAGCUCCUCUCUCACACAUUAUAAAUAGAAUGGGGUUUGCAACUUCAUUUCCAUAACACAAACUUAACAAAAUCUAAUCCCAAUAUGAAGAUUUCUUGGUUUUCCUUUAUUUUUGUACUUGUUGUUCUCUCAUCAGCUUCAUGGUCAGCAUUAGCUGAUAAUCAUGAAGAAUUCAUUCAAUGUCUAUCUCAUAGUAACCAAACAUCCUCCAAUAUUUACACACCAAAUAACUCUUCUUUUCCAUCAAUCCUUCAAUUCUCCAUACAAAAUCUAAGGUUCAAUACAACUGAAACUCCUAAACCUCUUGUGAUUGUCACUCCAGUGAGUGAAUCCGAGGUCCAACGAGUCAUUCUUUGUUCUAAGAAAACUGGGAUGCACGCAACGAGUCAUUCUUUGUGCUAAGAAAACUGGGAUGCACAUUAGGGUUCGUGGUGCAGGACAUGAUUAUGAAGGUCUUUCUUAUGUCUCCGAGGUUCCAUUCGUUAUAGUUGACCUUAUUAACCUUAGAACAAUCAAUGUUGAUGUCAAUGAUAAGAGUGCAUGGGUUGAAGCUGGAUCAACUAUUGGUGAACUCUAUUAUAGAAUCGCGGAGAAAAGCAAAACCCUAGGGUUUCCGGCUGGUGUUUGUCCAAC
RNAcentral lists this long non-coding RNA (6886 nucleotides) under Solanum tuberosum (potato). Its description in RNAcentral is "long non-coding RNA (STUB_LNC006694)". Lineage: Eukaryota; Viridiplantae; Streptophyta; Magnoliopsida; Solanales; Solanaceae. The record is from RNAcentral.